This is a long non-coding RNA of Gasterosteus aculeatus aculeatus (three-spined stickleback), 259 nucleotides long. The record is from Ensembl. NCBI's taxonomy places the organism in Eukaryota, Metazoa, Chordata, Actinopteri, Perciformes, Gasterosteidae.
AACAAUAGGAAAUGUAGUCUUAGCUGUUUUAAAAUUACACCAAGUUUAUUUCGGGUUAUUCCAACGGAAGAAUACAAGGCGCAGGGAACUUUGAGGUGCGUAAACGCUAUUUCCAAAUUCCAGAGGUGCGUAAACGGCGUUUACGUGCGUUUACCCUCCACUACAGCCCUGGUCACAUUUAAUAGCUAUAUUAAACUCCUUUUCUUCCCUUCUCAGGACCAGGCAAGACCCCCUUGCGUGUCCCUUGCGUCGCUUUUCA